CUAGCGGUGGUGGAUGAUUCAUCAACAGCCAAACACGCGUCAGGCUCUCUGUUUUCUUUCUAUACGUUAAAACCAACAAAUGUUACUCCGUUUCACACCAGGUUUUCCUUUUCUUUCUUUAUUUCUCACACCAGAAUUCCUCCUAUCUCGCUUCACCGGAACGGAUUAGAUCGACCAUAGUGUUAAAUCAAUAAACUCUCGCCGCCAAACGCCGUAGCCUUCGUCGUCUCUGUGCAGCCGGAAUUAACAGUUCAUGACUCAUUUCGCCGUUGCCAAAUCGCUUAAGAAUCAAAUCUUCAAUUGAAGUAUUAUUGGCCCUAAAUGGUUAGUUAAUCUGCACCGGUUAGCAAUGGCAGAGCCGACACGGUGGUGGUGUUUCCACAUUGGAGGCUAUUGGAAAAAAAUUCUUGCUUGGUUGAAGGAGAACUUUGCAGAGGCUAUGAGGAAAGAUGAUAUAAAAGCCAUAACUGGGGUGUAUACAACAAGCAUAGAUCUUGAGCAAGGAAAGAUCACAGUGUACAGGAAAACAUCUUGAGCUAUGGGGCCCACAAAAGGCAU
This is a long non-coding RNA of Helianthus annuus (common sunflower), 558 nucleotides long. RefSeq lists it as uncharacterized. NCBI's taxonomy places the organism in Eukaryota, Viridiplantae, Streptophyta, Magnoliopsida, Asterales, Asteraceae. The record is from RefSeq and is a predicted model, not a curated record. The transcript has 3 exons.